UCCACCCGAGACUCAGUGAAAUUGAACUCGCUGUGAAGAUGCAGUGUACCCGCGGCAAGACGGAAAGACCCCGUGAACCUUUACUAUAGCUUGACACUGAACAUUGAGCCUUGAUGUGUAGGAUAGGUGGGAGGCUUUGAAGUGUGGACGCCAGUCUGCAUGGAGCCGACCUUGAAAUACCACCCUUUAAUGUUUGAUGUUCUAACGUGGACCCGUUACCCGGGUUGCGGACAGUGUCUGGUGGGUAGUUUGACUGGGGCGGUCUCCUCCUAAAGAGUAACGGAGGAGCACGAAGGUUGGCUAAUCCUGGUCGGACAUCAGGAGGUUAGUGCAAUGGCAUAAGCCAGCUUGACUGCGAGCGUGACGGCGCGAGCAGGUGCGAAAGCAGGUCAUAGUGAUCCGGUGGUUCUGAAUGGAAGGGCCAUCGCUCAACGGAUAAAAGGUACUCCGGGGAUAACAGGCUGAUACCGCCCAAGAGUUCAUAUCGACGGCGGUGUUUGGCACCUCGAUGUCGGCUCAUCACAUCCUGGGGCUGAAGUAGGUCCCAAGGGUAUGGCUGUUCGCCAUUUAAAGUGGUACGCGAGCUGGGUUUAGAACGUCGUGAGACAGUUCGGUCCCUAUCUGCCGUGGGCGCUGGAGAACUGAGGGGGGCUGCUCCUAGUACGAGAGGACCGGAGUGGACGCAUCACUGGUGUUCGGGUUGUCAUGCCAAUGGCACUGCCCGGUAGCUAAAUGCGGAAGAGAUAAGUGCUGAAAGCAUCUAAGCACGAAACUUGCCCCGA
Molecule: ribosomal RNA, 782 nt
Filed under: Salmonella enterica
Lineage: Bacteria; Pseudomonadati; Pseudomonadota; Gammaproteobacteria; Enterobacterales; Enterobacteriaceae
Description: partial 23S ribosomal RNA
Rfam family: Bacterial large subunit ribosomal RNA
Source: RNAcentral